Molecule: ribosomal RNA, 487 nt
Filed under: uncultured bacterium
Lineage: Bacteria
Description: bacterial SSU rRNA
Rfam family: Bacterial small subunit ribosomal RNA
Source: RNAcentral
GUUUGAUCCUGGCUCAGAUUGAACGCUGGCGGUAUGCUUAACACAUGCAAGUCGAACGGUAACAGAACUAGCUNGCUAGUUGCUGACGAGNGGCGGACGGGUUAGUAACGCGUGGGAACAUACCCUUCUCUAAGGAAUAGCCACNGGAAACGGUGAGUAAUACUUUAUACGCCCUUCGGGGGANAGAUUUAUCGGAGAUGGAUUGGCCCGCGUUAGAUUAGAUAGUUGGUGGGGUAAUGGCCUACCAAGUCUACGAUCUAUAGCUGGUUUUAGAGGAUGAUCAGCAACACUGGGACUGAGACACGGCCCAGACUCCUACGGGAGGCAGCAGUGGGGAAUCUUAGACAAUGGGCGCAAGCCUGAUCUAGCGAUGCCGCGUGUGUGAUGAAGGUCUUAGGAUCGUAAAGCACUUUCACCAGGGAUGNUAAUGACAGUACCUGGAAAAGAAACCCCGGCUAACUCCGUGCCAGCAGCCGCGGUAAUAAGG